UGAUAAUUAAGCCCUGUGAUAUCUUCAGAUUACAGCCUAUUAAGCUGCAACGCCCCACACAUUAUGUAAAUUAGAGCAGUACUGUCUUGAGAGGGGCCCUUCGUUUUUCUGGACAUCAGAAUUUUAUAUCAAUGGAUUGUCCUGGAAAUUGCCAUACAGGCUUUUUCCAUUGAACUAAAGGAAACUGUCCUUUAACAUGUGCAUGAAGCAGCUCCCUGGAUGGUGUGUAGUCUGUUUGUCAACAUGUGGAGCCCAGGUGUAUAUCAAGCUGUACAGCGACUAUCAGAAUGUUGGAGCAAAACAAAGAUCUGAUUUUAAUCAGAUUGAUUUAAAGGUAGGAGUAGUCUCCCCUGUUAAAGAUCAGUAAUGGGUGGAUAUACAAUGCUGGAUGCAGUCUGGUCAUCAACAGAGAGUUUUGACACCUGUAAUUUGCCUCUGUAACCUUUGCUGUGUUUAUCAGACAGAUGAUGAACCAGUCUACUUCUUUUUACAAGAGGUACCCCUCCAUAUUCACAAAGUUCCAAUGUUGAGUUUCCAUGACACCUAUUCAUCCACCACAGGAAAAGGAAUAUAGUUGACAGGACUUUUUGCGCUGUCCUUGGAAGCAGUUUAUGAUGGAACCAACAACAGUAGCCAGCUUCCUGAAAGAUUUUUAAUUGGACUGUGCCACAUUUGUCAAGAGGCCCAACUUCACAGAGAAAACCUGGUUGGUUAUAAAGGAUUGUUAUGAUUUGAUACCACUUCCAGUUUUUAAAGACACAAAUGGGCAUUUCCUGAACUUUCCAGUAAUUUACAACAAGGAACUGUACUGUGGCUCACUUUUUAUUCAGGAGAACUUUGUUUUCGUGUAAUUACAUGAGACUUUGAUCUCACAAAAAUUUGAUUCUGUGGUACAAUAGCAUUCCGUAAGAAUAUAAAGAGCUACAACCACAAUUCUUGAAAAUUUUGUCUAGUUAAUAUAAAGAGUUUAUUCUUAUCUCAUGAGAAAUUUAGCAAUCUAUCUAGUGAAGUAUGUUACUUCUUAUUUUUAUCAAUACAGUGUGUGCUAUGUCAUAUGAGAUAUGUGAGUCUUUAAACUUUCUUGAAAAAGAAUAUAUAUACUGCAUAUGUAAAUUAUACAGUAAAACUUGGUUAUGACAAAUUGGCUGGGACUUAUAAAAUUACUUCACUAUAUCCGUAAUUCAUUAUAACCGUAUAAGAAAUUCAUUAACUUUAUAUAGCUGGGGAUCCAAGAUGACUUCGUUGUAACCGUGAAUUCGCAAUAUCCUUGUUCAUACUAAACGAGUUUUACUGUAAUUAUUUUUCAUAUACAUUGGUUGAAUAUGAUAUAUUGAUUAUUGAACAUCUAUGAAAUCAUGUACAUUUGUAUAUUAAAAACUGUUUUUUAACAUGUCAUUUUUAUGGUGCUUUUCUGUAUCAGAUGAUGUACUGAUGGACUGUACCAAAAAUCUCAUGAUCAAGCUUCAUAUAUGUAUGGUGUCUAUUUUCAUAUUCUUGUAAUCAGAUAUAUUUUUUUGACAUUCAGAAAACUUUUUGAAAGAGAUGUAUAAUUGUGUAUCAGGCAGAGUAGAUGCAGUUUGAUUAUAUGAAAUAAGGUUAAAUAUUUUAUGCUCAGAAUAUUUUUCAGGGUUAUUUAGGUGUACGUGUAAAUGUAUCCUUCAUUUUCAUACUGUAAUAAUAUAUUAACAGAUAUGUAUACUUUUCAAUAUUUACUGAUAUCACUAUUUAUUAUAUACCAGUAAUUAUUUUAAUGAAUGAUUCCAGUGUCUCCGUAUUUGACAGUUCAAAACAUAUAUAAUUAUAUUAAAAUAAAAAACGUUUUUUUUCUUGACAAAUUUUUACACAUUAUACACAAGUAUUUUAAAGUAGUUGUCAUGGAAUGGUAAAUAAUCUGCUUUAUUGACAUAAAAAAAACAACAUAUUAUGUACAUCCAUAUGAAAAGAAAGAAUUUCAAAGUUUUUUUUAUAUAAAAAAUAAAACAACAAAAAGAAAUUCUCUGUGUGUUUAUUCCAUCAAUAUGUUUGAGAAUAAAUUGUAUCCAUCAUAUUUCCUCUCCAUUAUGUAGCACUUUGAUUUUGUUGUUCAGGAAUUAAGUUCAGCUUUGACAUUUGUUUAAGUAACCUAACCUUUUGAGUUGUUCAAAGUCAUGGGAGAUGUCACCACAAAGUUUAAUAUGUGUGAUUGGAUUUGAAAAAUAAACAGGAAAUUUCAAUAAAAUGCAACAACUACAUUAACCUCUUAUGGAUACAUGUAAUCAGCAAACUUUUAAAUGCGUGAAAUUUCAAAGAAUUGAAAAAUUUAUAGUUAAUUUAAAAUCCUAUUAAUUUUAUUAAUGCACACAAUAAUUGAAUGGAUGCAAACAUCAAAUUUAUUAUUAUUCUCAUAUAUAUAGAGCAAUAAAGUGAACAUUUAUGCCAUUGAUGAGAGCAAUAGCCAAUUAAUCUAAUUAUUCAAAUGAUACUUGCAUUAAAACAUUCCUUGAGUUCCUGAACACUACACCGGUGCUGGCAACAUUAAUUUAUAAAGAUUGUUUUAAUGCAAGCAUCAAAGUGAUAUUCCUCUAGUAUGCUCAUGGGCGUCGGAAGCGAAUUGAAAGUGGGGGGAUAAUCG
This is a long non-coding RNA of Saccostrea cuccullata (small rock oyster), 2611 nucleotides long. RefSeq lists it as uncharacterized. The transcript has 8 exons. The record is from RefSeq and is a predicted model, not a curated record. Lineage: Eukaryota; Metazoa; Mollusca; Bivalvia; Ostreida; Ostreidae.